RNAcentral lists this ribosomal RNA (497 nucleotides) under uncultured bacterium. RNAcentral describes it as "partial 16S ribosomal RNA". It matches the Rfam family "Bacterial small subunit ribosomal RNA", at positions 28 to 507 of the family's 1533-position model. The record is from RNAcentral.
GAUGAACGCUGGCGGCGUGCCUAAUACAUGCAAGUAGAACGCUGAAGGAAGGAGCUUGCUCUUUCCGGAUGAGUUGCGAACGGGUGAGUAACGCGUAGGUAACCUGCCUGGUAGCGGGGGAUAACUAUUGGAAACGAUAGCUAAUACCGCGUAACAGUAGAUGUUGCAUGAUAUCUACUUAAAAGGUGCAAUUGCACCACUACCAGAUGGACCUGCGUUGUAUUAGCUAGUUGGUGAGGUAACGGCUCACCAAGGCGACGAUACAUAGCCGACCUGAGAGGGUGAUCGGCCACACUGGGACUGAGACACGGCCCAGACUCCUACGGGAGGCAGCAGUAGGGAAUCUUCGGCAAUGGACGGAAGUCUGACCGAGCAACGCCGCGUGAGUGAAGAAGGUUUUCGGAUCGUAAAGCUCUGUUGUAAGAGAAGAACGAGUGUGAGAGUGGAAAGUUCACACUGUGACGGUAGCUUACCAGAAAGGGACGGCUAACUACGUG